GACGGAGGGGGCUAGCGUUGUUCGGAAUUACUGGGCGUAAAGCGCACGUAGGCGGCAUAGCAAGUUGGGGGUGAAAGCCCAGAGCUCAACUCUGGAAAUGCCUUCAAAACUGCUAAGCUAGAGUUCGGAAGAGGAGAGUGGAAUACCCAGUGUAGAGGUGGAAUUCGUAGAUAUUGGGUAGAACACCAGUGGCGAAGGCGGCUCUCUGGUCCGAUACUGACGCUGAGGUGCGAAAGCGUGGGGAGCAAACAGG
Molecule: ribosomal RNA, 253 nt
Filed under: uncultured bacterium
Lineage: Bacteria
Description: partial 16S ribosomal RNA
Rfam family: Bacterial small subunit ribosomal RNA
Source: RNAcentral